GACGGAGGAUGCAAGCGUUAUCCGGAAUUACUGGGCGUAAAGCGUGCGCAGGCGGUUUCGUAAGUCUGUUGUGAAAUCCCCGGGCUUAACCUGGGAAUGGCGAUGGAGACUGCGAGGCUAGAGUUUGGCAGAGGGGGGUAGAAUUCCACGUGUAGCAGUGAAAUGCGUAGAGAUGUGGAGGAACACCGAUGGCGAAGGCAGCCCCCUGGGUCAAGAUUGACGCUCAUGCACGAAAGCGUGGGGAGCAAACAGG
RNAcentral lists this ribosomal RNA (253 nucleotides) under uncultured bacterium. RNAcentral's name for it is "partial 16S ribosomal RNA". It matches the Rfam family "Bacterial small subunit ribosomal RNA", at positions 524 to 776 of the family's 1533-position model. The record is from RNAcentral.